RNAcentral lists this long non-coding RNA (202 nucleotides) under Mytilus galloprovincialis (Mediterranean mussel). The record is from RNAcentral. Lineage: Eukaryota; Metazoa; Mollusca; Bivalvia; Mytilida; Mytilidae.
CACCUUUUAAACAACAUUAAGCAUUUUUCUAUCGAACCAAAAAUCAACAAUUUUAACACUGAAAUAUGAUACUCCCAACUAGCUAUACACAUCCAGAAUUAUACAUCACAUAAGAAGAUGCUGCAUUUUGUUGUAUGUAUCAAUAAUAUCACAUUAUUCACAUUCUAUACUGUUACUGUAAAAAAAUCAUACACAAACAAAC